UAGAGUUAAAGUUUUUGGGUCCUAGGCUUGCCGUUGUUUUUUACCAAAAUUAUACAUGCAAGCCUCCACAUACCAGUGAGAAUGCCCAUACACCCUUAAACAGAGAACCGGAGCAGAUAUCAGGAUUCAACCCCUUAGCCAAAGACGUCUUGCUUACGCCACACCCACACGGGUUUUCAGCAGUAAUUAACAUUAAAAAUGAGCGAAAGCUCGAUCUAGUUAUGGUAAAUACGGUCGGUAAAUUUCGUGCCAGCCACCGCGGUUAUACGAAAGAUUAAAAACAACGACCCUCGGCGUAAAGCGUGACUAAGAGUAAUACAACUUAGGGGGGUACAAGUGCUAAGUUGUAAAAUACUAUUGCACCUAGAACAACAACUCUGCCUCUAAACUCUCCAACCUCACGAAAGCUAAGAAACAAACUGGGAUUAGAUACCCCACUAUGCUUAGCCCUAAACAGAGAUCUUAUUAAUACAAUAUUUUCCGCCAGAGAACUACAAGCGAAAAGCUAGAAACUCCAAGGACUUGGCGGUGCUUCAAAUCAACCUAGAGGAGCCUGUCCUAUAAUCGAUACCCCCCGUUCAACCUUACCACCUUUAGCCAGUCAGCCUAUAUACCGCCGUCGUCAGCCUACCUUAUGAAAGAAAUAAAGUAAGCAAAACAGUUAACAACUAGUAAGUCAGGUCAAGGUGUAGCACAUGAGGUGGCAGAGAUGGGCUACAUUUUCCUAACGAACAUACGUACAACAUGUUGAAAAACCUGUUUAAAGGUGGAUUUAGCAGUAAAAUAAACAAGAAAAAUUAUCUUAAACCCGCUCUGAAGCGCGCACACACCGCCCGUCACCCUCAUCACACGAACCUAUUAUAAAACAUAUAAUGAACCCUAUUUAGAUGAGGCAAGUCGUAACACGUAGCGGUUU
This 916-nucleotide non-coding RNA is filed under the name Plestiodon chinensis. RNAcentral's name for it is "partial 12S ribosomal RNA". It matches the Rfam family "Bacterial small subunit ribosomal RNA". Lineage: Eukaryota; Metazoa; Chordata; Lepidosauria; Squamata; Scincidae. The record is from RNAcentral.